UCGAUUGAGUUUGAUCAUGGCUCAGGACGAACGCUGGCGGCGUGCUUAAACCAUGCAAGUCGAGCGACGACGCCUGGAGGGGUAACCCUCUGGGUGGACGGAGCGGCGAACGGGUGAGUAACACGUGAGGAACCUGCCCCAGAGUCCGGGAUAGCCCGGGGAAACCCGGAUUAAUACCGGAUAUCCACCUCCGAUCGCAUGGUCGGAGAUGUAAAGAUUCACCGCUUUGGGAUGGCCUCGCGGCCUAUCAGCUUGUUAGUGGGGUAAAGGCCUACCAAAGCUACGAUCCGUAGCUGGUCUGAGAGGAUGAUCAGCCACACUGGGACUGAGACACGGCCCAGACUCCUACGGGAGGCAGCAGUGGGGAAUCUUGCGCAAUGCGGGAAACCGUGACGCAGCGACGCCGUGUGCGGGAAGAAGGCCUUCGGGUUGUAAACCGCUUUCAGGAGGGACGAAGCUACUCGGGUUAAUAGCCCAGAGGGUGACGGUACCUCCAGAAGAAGCCCCGGCUAACUACGUGCCAGCAGCCGCGGUAAUACGUAGGGGGCGAGCGUUGUCCGGAUUUAUUGGGCGUAAAGAGCGUGUAGGCGGCUAGAUAGGUCCGCUGUGAAAACUCGAGGCUCAACCUCGAGACGUCGGCGGAAACCAUUUGGCUAGAGUCCGGAAGAGGAGAGUGGAAUUCCUGGUGUAGCGGUGAAAUGCGCAGAUAUCAGGAAGAACACCCGUGGCGGAAGCGGCUCUCUGGGACGGUACUGACGCUGAGACGCGAAAGCGUGGGGAGCGAACAGGAUUAGAUA
Molecule: ribosomal RNA, 797 nt
Filed under: uncultured bacterium
Lineage: Bacteria
Description: bacterial SSU rRNA
Rfam family: Bacterial small subunit ribosomal RNA
Source: RNAcentral